CCCCUGCUGUUGCUGGACUUCAACUCCCAUCACCCCUGACUACUGGCCCUGCUAGCUAAGGAUGAUGGGAGUUGUAGUCCAGCAAUAGCUGGGG
Molecule: non-coding RNA, 94 nt
Organism: Podarcis lilfordi (Lilford's wall lizard)
Lineage: Eukaryota; Metazoa; Chordata; Lepidosauria; Squamata; Lacertidae
Source: the annotation of a GenBank genome assembly